Molecule: non-coding RNA, 95 nt
Organism: Mycena galericulata
Lineage: Eukaryota; Fungi; Basidiomycota; Agaricomycetes; Agaricales; Mycenaceae
Source: the annotation of a GenBank genome assembly
UCUUGACUAGUAUAUCUGUUCAGUACACCCGCUUGUCAUCGAAAAGGAUACACUGUGGUCCGCGGGAGAGCAGGGUUCGACUCCCUGGUCGAGAG